UGCAUCUUACAUCUUUCUGCCAUGUUAUGUCUCUUUCUGCUUUACUCUCCCCUAAUGUAAAAACACAGUAUCAGAAGUGAAGCUCCUCCAAGCUCUUCAGAGGGAUUUCCUCGAUUGGGAUACGGACAAAAGGUGACUGUGAUGGCUGGUUAGCACUGGCUGGUACCAACCAAGAUAUCCUGUACACAGCAUCGCUUAGUAGACAUGUGAUAAAACCACCUGCAGACAGCAGCGGCAUGUCCAACCUUUGAAAUCUCUGACUUUCCUGAGAGAAUUACCACCCAAGGCAUAAGGUAUCUUGAAGGUUAUUUCAGACUGCAAUCAAGAAAUUUAAAUAAUCUGGAAACUAAAGAGAAGACUGUGAAGGUGCAGAGAGUCUUUGUCUACAUGAGCCAGUGGCAGUAGGAAAAUACUGUGGUUAAUAAAAGUGUUUUCUUGAUGGAUCUAUCUAUUA
This is a long non-coding RNA of Rattus norvegicus (Norway rat), 454 nucleotides long. RefSeq lists it as uncharacterized. The record is from RefSeq and is a predicted model, not a curated record. NCBI's taxonomy places the organism in Eukaryota, Metazoa, Chordata, Mammalia, Rodentia, Muridae.